CUGUAUUCAACGUCCUUCCUAUAGUUCCUGGGAGUGGACCAAUCCCAACCUCUUCUAGUAGCGCCCCCUCAAUGGCUCCAAUUCCUGCCUAUCAAACAAAUCCUACAUGAUCAAAUAGUGGAGGCUUCGAUAGUUUUAAUGCCAAUUCUAAAGCUCCUGAUGCUAGUCAUUAGUUUUGCUCAGGUGCAUAUUUGACCUCUCGUAUUUACUAGUAUUUCAUUUUUCA
Long non-coding RNA from Rhodamnia argentea, 226 nucleotides. RefSeq lists it as uncharacterized. The transcript is spliced from 2 exons. Lineage: Eukaryota; Viridiplantae; Streptophyta; Magnoliopsida; Myrtales; Myrtaceae. The record is from RefSeq and is a predicted model, not a curated record.